Molecule: transfer RNA, 96 nt
Filed under: Candidatus Zhuqueibacterota bacterium
Lineage: Bacteria; Pseudomonadati
Description: candidate division KSB1 bacterium (microbial mat metagenome) tRNA-Sec
Rfam family: Selenocysteine transfer RNA
Source: RNAcentral
GGGAGCGGUUGGCCCUCUGGUGAGGCCCGCGGUCUUCAAAACCGUUGUGCCGGCGUUCCGCGUCGGCAGGUGGGUUCGAUUCCCACACGUUCCCGC